AUUGAACGCUGGCGGCAGGCCUAACACAUGCAAGUCGAACGAGUGGCGGACGGGUGAGUAAUGUCUGGGAAACUGCCUGAUGGAGGGGGAUAACUACUGGAAACGGUAGCUAAUACCGCAUACCAUCGGAUGUGCCCAGAUGGGAUUAGCUAGUAGGUGGGGUAACGGCUCACCUAGGCGACGCUCCCUAGCUGGUCUGAGAGGAUGACCAGCAACACUGGAACUGAGACACGGUCCAGACUCCUACGGGAGGCAGCAGUGGGGAAUAUUGCACAAUGGGCGCAAGCCUGAUGCAGCCAGGCCGCGUGUAUGAAGAAGGCCGUCGGGUUGUAAAGUACUUUCAGCGGGGAGGCGUUACGCGCAGAAGAAGCACCGGCUAACUCCGUGCCAGCAGCCGCGGUAAUUC
This 406-nucleotide ribosomal RNA is filed under the name uncultured bacterium. Its description in RNAcentral is "partial 16S ribosomal RNA". It matches the Rfam family "Bacterial small subunit ribosomal RNA", at positions 30 to 526 of the family's 1533-position model. The record is from RNAcentral.